UGGGGAAUUUGGACAAUGGCGCAAGCCUGAUCCAGCCAUGCCGCGUGCGGGAAGAAGGCCUUCGGGUUGUAAACCGCUUUUGUCAGGGAAGAAAUCUUCUGAGUUAAUACCUCGGGAGGAUGACGGUACCUGAAGAAUAAGCACCGGCUAACUACGUGCCAGCAGCCGCGGUAAUACGUAGGGUGCAAGCGUUAAUCGGAAUUACUGGGCGUAAAGCGUGCGCAGGCGGUUUUGUAAGACAGAGGUGAAAUCCCCGAGCUCAACCUGGGAACUGCCUUUGUGACUGCAAGGCUUGAGUGCGGCAGAGGGGGAUGGAAUUCCGCGUGUAGCAGUGAAAUGCGUAGAUAUGCGGAGGAACACCGAUGGCGAAGGCAAUCCCCUGGGCCUGCACUGACGCUCAUGCACGAAAGCGUGGGGAGCAAACAGGAUUAGAUAGCCCUGGUAGUCCACGCCCUAAACGAUGUCAACUGGUUGUUGGGAAGGUUCCUUCUCAGUAACGUAGCUAACGCGUGAAGUUGACCGCCUGGGGAGUACGGCCGCAAGGUUGAAACUCAAAUGAAUUGACGGGGU
RNAcentral lists this ribosomal RNA (570 nucleotides) under uncultured bacterium. RNAcentral describes it as "partial 16S ribosomal RNA". It matches the Rfam family "Bacterial small subunit ribosomal RNA", at positions 356 to 919 of the family's 1533-position model. The record is from RNAcentral.